This 680-nucleotide ribosomal RNA is filed under the name Stenotrophomonas maltophilia. RNAcentral describes it as "bacterial SSU rRNA". It matches the Rfam family "Bacterial small subunit ribosomal RNA", at positions 1 to 670 of the family's 1533-position model. Lineage: Bacteria; Pseudomonadati; Pseudomonadota; Gammaproteobacteria; Lysobacterales; Lysobacteraceae. The record is from RNAcentral.
UAAGUGAAGAGUUUGAUCCUGGCUCAGAGUGAACGCUGGCGGUAGGCCUAACACAUGCAAGUCGAACGGCAGCACAGGAGAGCUUGCUCUCUGGGUGGCGAGUGGCGGACGGGUGAGGAAUACAUCGGAAUCUACUUUUUCGUGGGGGAUAACGUAGGGAAACUUACGCUAAUACCGCAUACGACCUACGGGUGAAAGCAGGGGAUCUUCGGACCUUGCGCGAUUGAAUGAGCCGAUGUCGGAUUAGCUAGUUGGCGGGGUAAAGGCCCACCAAGGCGACGAUCCGUAGCUGGUCUGAGAGGAUGAUCAGCCACACUGGAACUGAGACACGGUCCAGACUCCUACGGGAGGCAGCAGUGGGGAAUAUUGGACAAUGGGCGCAAGCCUGAUCCAGCCAUACCGCGUGGGUGAAGAAGGCCUUCGGGUUGUAAAGCCCUUUUGUUGGGAAAGAAAUCCAGCUGGCUAAUACCCGGUUGGGAUGACGGUACCCAAAGAAUAAGCACCGGCUAACUUCGUGCCAGCAGCCGCGGUAAUACGAAGGGUGCAAGCGUUACUCGGAAUUACUGGGCGUAAAGCGUGCGUAGGUGGUCGUUUAAGUCCGUUGUGAAAGCCCUGGGCUCAACCUGGGAACUGCAGUGGAUACUGGGCGACUAGAGUGUGGUAGAGGGUAGCGGAAUUCC